RNAcentral lists this ribosomal RNA (492 nucleotides) under uncultured bacterium. RNAcentral describes it as "partial 16S ribosomal RNA". It matches the Rfam family "Bacterial small subunit ribosomal RNA", at positions 29 to 507 of the family's 1533-position model. The record is from RNAcentral.
AGUGAACGCUGGCGGUAGGCCUAACACAUGCAAGUCGAACGGCAGCACAGUAAGAGCUUGCUCUUACGGGUGGCGAGUGGCGGACGGGUGAGGAAUACAUCGGAAUCUACUUUUUCGUGGGGGAUAACGUAGGGAAACUUACGCUAAUACCGCAUACGACCUACGGGUGAAAGCAGGGGAUCUUCGGACCUUGCGCGAUUGAAUGAGCCGAUGUCGGAUUAGCUAGUUGGCGGGGUAAAGGCCCACCAAGGCGACGAUCCGUAGCUGGUCUGAGAGGAUGAUCAGCCACGCUGGAACUGAGACACGGUCCAGACUCCUACGGGAGGCAGCAGUGGGGAAUAUUGGACAAUGGGCGCAAGCCUGAUCCAGCCAUACCGCGUGGGUGAAGAAGACCUUCGGGUUGUAAAGCCCUUUUGUUGGGAAAGAAAAGCAGCAGGUUAAUACCCCGCUGCUCUGACGGUACCCAAAGAAUAAGCACCGGCUAACUUCGUG